This 216-nucleotide long non-coding RNA is filed under the name Elaeis guineensis (African oil palm). Its description in RNAcentral is "long non-coding RNA (EGUI_LNC082107)". Lineage: Eukaryota; Viridiplantae; Streptophyta; Magnoliopsida; Arecales; Arecaceae. The record is from RNAcentral.
GAAUAUGUAAAUUAAAUAAUUUAAUCUAUAAAUACAUCUAAUCAAAUUAUUAAACCCUACAAUUAGGAUCUAUAACAUGUCAUAUUGUAUUUAUAAAUCAGAAAAUAAAAGAUUUGGUAUUGAUCAAAUCAAUAUCCUAGAUAUGAAAUAGUUUUAGAUCUAAAAUCUAGAUCAUAUCUAGAUAAAAGAAGAGAUCAGAUCUCUUACCUUCAUGCG